AGGAAGAAGAAAGGCGUAUGGCAUCUGUUUUAGCCAAAAAAGAGGAAGAGAAGAAGCGGGAAAGUCAUAAACAAUCUUUGCUUAAGGAGAAGAGAAGGUUAACAAUUAACAACGUAGCUCGACAGUGGGACUUGCAACAACAACGAGUAGCCAAUAUUGCUACAAAUGAAGAUAGAAAAGAUUCUGACUCUCCUCAGGACCCCUGUCAGAUUGAUGGAAGCACCCUCUCUGCAUUCCCAGAGGAAACAGGGCCUCUAGACUCAGGACUCAACAAUGCUUUACAAGGUUUAUCUGUCAUAGACACAUACCUUGUUGAAGUGGACGGGGAUACACUUUCCCUGUAUGGCUCAGGAGCACUGGAAUCUCUGGAUAGGAAUUGGAGUGUUCAAACAGCAGGAAUGAUCACAACAGUCUCCUUCACUUUCAUAGAAUUUGAUGAAAUUGUCCAAGUGCUUCCUAAACUGAAGAUUAAAUUUCCUAAUUCUCUGAAGGAGUCACCCAGAAUUCAAUAUUGGAUGGAUUCCAUCAAUGGUGCAUUGGAUGAAUUAAAGUUAUCACCUUAAAUUCAAGGAAACAAAUCUUGUAAUGCUGCAGCAAUUUAACGCACUAGCCCAACUCCGUCGUAUUGACCAGUUGACAAUUGAUCCUCAAGGAAAUCCAGUUGUCAAUUUUACACUCUGGAAAUACUAUGUACUGUUUAGGCUAAGCCAUUUUAGUAUGCAGAAAA
Molecule: small RNA, 727 nt
Filed under: Pan troglodytes (chimpanzee)
Lineage: Eukaryota; Metazoa; Chordata; Mammalia; Primates; Hominidae
Description: processed transcript
Source: RNAcentral